Molecule: long non-coding RNA, 329 nt
Organism: Musca domestica (house fly)
Lineage: Eukaryota; Metazoa; Arthropoda; Insecta; Diptera; Muscidae
Exons: 3
Source: RefSeq, a predicted model, not a curated record
GUGAUAAGAAAUACAUUUUUGCUAUAAAAGCAAAUCGAAUUCAAUUACUCCGUGUUAUUCUCUAAAUCAAUCUAAGCUUGAAAUAAUGAAACUCAUUGUGGUAUUAGUUGUACUUUUGGUGGUGGCACAGUGCUAUGCUCGCUCAAUUCAUGGAGACUCCUUUGCCAUAGAAACACCCGAUUCUGAGCCUUUAUUUUCCGUCGAGCCACAACAACAGGACUCAUCUUUGGUGGAUUCGUUUACACGUUCCAAACGCGGUGGAGGCACAGUAAUAAUUAUAAAGACAGCUAAUAAUAAAUUGUAGAAAAUCAAUUUGAAUCAUUUUAUGA